CUGACCUGCUGGUUUCCCAUGGUGCAGCUCCACGCACUCUGACCUGCUGGUUUCCCAUGGUGCACCUCCACGCACUCUGACCUGCUGGUUUCCCAUGGUGCACCUCCACGCACUCUGACCUACUGGUUUCCCAUGAUGCACCUCCAUGCACUCUGACCUGCUGAUUUCCCACGGUGUGGAUUCCCAUUGUUUCCCAUUGUUCUUGGUGAGGAUUCCAGGUUGGCCCAUCUUCCCCCAUACUCUUGGGGUUCGUGUGCACUCUCAAGAUGCACAUGGUUACACCGUACAUCACUCCCUAGUGGUUGACCCGGGCACUCGGCCUCCCCAAUCCUGGGUGUCCAGCCACUGAUGUCCAAAGAUGGCACGAGUCUCUCACCUCAAAAGAGCAUGACCUUCGACGGCUGCCGUGACACUGCAGUGCCCAGCGUGGCAGCCACUGGCCACACAUCACCAUCGGGAACCUGAAACACGGCUCUUCCAAACUGAGACCUGUAAACACAAAGCACACACUGGACUUGAAGUGAAGUGUCUCACUCACAUCGGCUGACAUGGAAGAGAGAAUAUUCUGGUCUAUGAAGCUCAACACGAUUCGAACUAUUAAAAUGAACUGUGUACCUG
This 618-nucleotide long non-coding RNA is filed under the name Capra hircus (goat). RNAcentral describes it as "lncRNA (ENSCHIG00000004972.1)". The record is from RNAcentral. Lineage: Eukaryota; Metazoa; Chordata; Mammalia; Artiodactyla; Bovidae.